GCAGAUAUCAACUUUUGGAGAUAUUUUCAGUUUUUAUACUGCUUUCUAGUCAAAGAUUAUAAAAUAGUACUGUUUUUACAUUCCUGUGUAACUUUAUUCCACUUUUUUAUUUGCAGUAACUAAAUGGCAAAACAUUCCAAUGCCCCUAUGAUCUAGCUACACUUUAGUAAGAUCAGUAGGCCAAGUCUAAACUCUUCCUGACAAAUCUAGAAGUAUAGGACUUGAAAUUGAAUCUGUAUACUCUAAACAUCACUAUACUAUAUCAUUAUACUGAUGACUUCUAUACCUUAUAACCAUCUUGAAGGAUGGACAUUGGCAGCAUCCUAUUUUUCUCUAAAUGUAUAUGUAGAUAUAGCAUCCAGAAUUGAACUGGAUAUUCUAAAAUAUUACAUUGACAAUUAUUACAUGCGAUCAUUGACAACAUCAUCAUAGUAUGGGAUGACAAAACUGAGAUGGAUGAACUUUUAUAAACUCUGACACUGCCAGCCUAUGGCCUCACACUGAAGAAAGAUCAAGUCUGCAAGUGGGAAGUGCAUUUCCUUGAUAUUCACAUAAGACAUAGAGAUGAUGAAAUAAUAACUGCAGUGUAUAGAAAACCCUCAUAUGUGCCUAUCAUAAUACUUAGAUGGUCAGAUGACCCUAUAACAUACAAAAAAGCCACGUUUAGAUUGUUUUCAAAAGGGCAAAAAUAUACACCUCAGACCAAAAGUACCCAAAACAGGAGAUUAACUACGUCUAUGAUAUAGGGUACAAACACAGGUACAGGAAGAAAUUCUUAAACCAAUCCAUAAAUCAGUGAAAAGAAAUCUAAGGGGCAACAUACAGAAGAGAACCCAACAGCAGUAAUGUCUGGCUAUAUACCAGUACUAUACCCUUUCAACAAGAUGACCUUUGCUAAAAAGAUAAAGAAAGGAAUAGCCGUUAGUAGGGCCCCAACACUCUUCAAUAGACUUAGAAAUGAGAACAAUCAAAAGGAAGAGCAUGAAAAAAUAGGAGUCUAUAGGAUACUGGUCACUAAUCAAGAGACAAAAGAGCAAGCAGUGUACAUCGGAGUGACUAAUAGGACCUCAGACCAAUGUUUACAACAUAAAAAUGAUAUAGCUAAGGCCAAAUUAACAUAGCUCUAGUGAUGUCUGCCGACAAUGCUGAUCUUACUAUAAAUUGGGACCAAGCUAGAAUCAUAAAGCCAGUAAAUGCUAUCUCCCAGGCCUGACUACUGA
This 1220-nucleotide long non-coding RNA is filed under the name Androctonus crassicauda. The record is from RNAcentral. Lineage: Eukaryota; Metazoa; Arthropoda; Arachnida; Scorpiones; Buthidae.